This 394-nucleotide long non-coding RNA is filed under the name Coccomyxa subellipsoidea. Its description in RNAcentral is "long non-coding RNA (CSUB_LNC000682)". The record is from RNAcentral. Lineage: Eukaryota; Viridiplantae; Chlorophyta; Trebouxiophyceae; Coccomyxaceae.
CAGUGGCAGGUCUGAGUUCAUACGAUACCCGCUUCCAGCAGCCAGAAUCAGGACACAUAGACCUUGAUUGAGAUCUUUUGCAUCCUUAUACUUUUGGAUCCAGCCUGGUACACCCAUAUCUUUCUUUCGCAUAAAUUUUCCGAGACCAGAUCCCUCUUUGCCUUUCCCAAACAUUUGGCCGGAAAUCAGAGCAGGUGUCAAAUUAAGUUGUAUCUUCCUCCAUAACUAUUCUGGAGAUGCUCUCUCAGCUCCUGUCAUCACGUUUCUACUGGGUGCUGGAACCAAAUUGGCGAGAUCUAGCAGAAGCUGCGCGCUCUUGGAGACAAUCGGAAGUUGACCAGGGUCAAUUUCUGAACAACUACGAAAUCCCUUCUUUAGGAUUGCCACCAGGACG